UACGUAGGGUGCAAGCGUUGUCCGGAAUUAUUGGGCGUAAAGAGCUCGUAGGCGGUCUGUUGCGUCGGCUGUGAAAACCCGGGGCUCAACCCCGGGCCUGCAGCCGAUACGGGCAGACUAGAGUUCGGCAGGGGAGAGUGGAAUUCCUGGUGUAGCGGUGAAAUGCGUAGAGAUCUGGAGGAACACCGAUGGCGAAGGCAGCCUUCUGGGCCAACACUGACGCUCAUGCACGAAAGCGUGGGGAGCAAACAGG
Molecule: ribosomal RNA, 253 nt
Filed under: uncultured bacterium
Lineage: Bacteria
Description: partial 16S ribosomal RNA
Rfam family: Bacterial small subunit ribosomal RNA
Source: RNAcentral